Molecule: long non-coding RNA, 1312 nt
Filed under: Bos indicus x Bos taurus (hybrid cattle)
Lineage: Eukaryota; Metazoa; Chordata; Mammalia; Artiodactyla; Bovidae
Description: lncRNA (ENSBIXG00005019932.1)
Source: RNAcentral
CAGGUGUCAGCCUGGACACUCUCCAAGUGCCUCCUCAGGGGGAUUGAGGGGCCUUCUUGUUUGGGAACAGUGAUCUUUUGUUAACACACACACAGAAAGUCAGUUACUCCUCACAGAGUCUGCUGAGGCAGGGCAAGCCCUACAUACAAAUGCUCAGGUGGUGGGGAGAGAGAGAGGAAGAUGGCUUGCAAACACGUGAGCGGUGAUGAGAGCAAACUCAGGAAACCGUAUAGCCUCCAUGCUGAGAUGUGCAUGUGUUCCCAUGGGGUCCACUGACUGACGGAGACCAUGGCACUGGGAUGAAAGAAGAAUUGCACGGAGAUUCGAGCUCACACAGAUAUGUUAACCAACCUGGAUUUAAAUUCAAAAUCUGUAUGCAGGUCAAGAAGCAACAGUUAGAACAGGACAUGGAACAAAGGACUGGUUCAAAAUUGGGAAAGAAGUAUAUCAAAGCUGUAUAUUGUCACUCUGCUUAUUUAACUUAUAUGCAGAGUACAUCAUAUGAAAUGCCAGGCUGGAUAAAGCACAAGCUGGAAUCAAGAUUGCCAGGAGAAAUAUCAAUAACUUCAGAUAUACAGAUGACAUCACCCUUAUGGCAGAAAGCAAAGAAGUAAAGAGCCUUCUGAUGAAGAUGAAAGAGGAGAGUGAAAAGGCUGCCUUAAAAUUCAACAUUCAGAAAAAGAUCAUGGCAUCCAGUCCCAUCACUUCAUAACAAAUAGAUGGCACUGCAGAUGGUGACUGCAGCCAUGAACUUAAGAUUCUUACUCCUUGGAAGAAAAGCUAUGACCAAGCUAGACAGCAUAUUAAAAAGCAGAGACAUUACUUUGCUGAAAAAGGUCCAUCUAGUUAGAGCCUGGAGAAUCCCAAGGACAGAGGAGCCUGUUGGGCUGCCGUCUAUGGGGUCGCACAGAGUCAGACACGACUGCUGCAACUUAGCAGCAGCAGCAGCAGUUAAAGCUAUGGUUUUUCCAGGAGUCAUGUAUGGAUGUGAGAACUGGACCAUAAGGGAGGCUGAGCACUAAAGAAUUGAUGCUUUUGAACUGUGGUGCUGGAGAAGACUCUUAAGAGUCCCUUGGACUGCAAGGAGAUCCAACCAGUCCAUCCUAAAGGAAAUCAGUCCUGAAUAUUCAUUGGAAGGACUGAUGCUGAAGCUGAAGCUCCAGUACUUUGGCCACCUGAUGCAAAGAGCCGACUCCUUAGAAAAGACCCUGAUACUGGGAAAGAUUGAAGGCAGGAGGAGAAAGAAAUGAUAGAGGACAAGAUAGUUGGGUGACAUCACCAACUCAAUAAACAUGAGUUUGAACAAGCUCCA